GAAACAAGCAGUGCCACCAUCUGAAGGAGGAAAAUGUGAAAUAAUGAAUAUGCUUCUGCAGAUCAGGCUGCUGUGUGUGCCAGGGGAUGUGCAAAGCCUCGUGCCAGGCUUGAUCUCCAGAUUUCCCCUCUCCACCUCUAAGGAGGGCAGAGAACAAUAAGCAGCUGCUGGAGCCUUCCACUCGUGCUCUCAGAAGAAGCACAGGGAGAUCUCUGACGACACGACAGGGCAAAGAAUGGUGAGGAGAAGACACAGUGAGGUUCUUAUCUGGAGCGUGGUUCUGCAGCUACAGAUUUGCCUGAAUUCAGUGAGAUCGCUCCAAACCCUUUGGAGGAGCUCGAGCACCGAGGGGAAGGGAUGAUUUUAGUCAGAAAAGUUAUUUUCCAUCAAAAAAAGAAAAACUGAGGGGAUGUUUUCA
This 418-nucleotide long non-coding RNA is filed under the name Zonotrichia albicollis (white-throated sparrow). Its description in RNAcentral is "lncRNA (ENSZALG00000014893.1)". The record is from RNAcentral. Lineage: Eukaryota; Metazoa; Chordata; Aves; Passeriformes; Passerellidae.